UUGGAGGGCAAGUCUGGUGCCAGCAGCCGCGGUAAUUCCAGCUCCAAUAGCGUAUAUUAAAGUUGUUGCGGUUAAAAAGCUCGUAGUUGAAUUUCGGGGUCAGUAGAUUGGUCAUGCCACUGGUAUGUACUGGUCUCACUGAUUCCUCCUUCCUGAUGAGCCGUAAUGCCAUUAAUUUGGUGUUGCGAGGAAUCUGGACUGUUACUUUGAAAAAAUUAGAGUGUUUAAAGCAGGCUAACGCUUGAAUACAUUAGCAUGGAAUAAUGAAAUAGGACGUUCGAUCUUAUUUUGUUGGUUUCUAAGAUUGACGUAAUGAUUAAUAGGGAUAGUUGGGGGCAUUAGUAUUCAAUUGUCAGAGGUGAAAUUCUUGGAUUUAUUGAAGACUAACUACUGCGAAAGCAUUUGCCAAGGAUGUUUUCAUUAAUCAAGAACGAAAGUUAGGGGAUCGAAGACGAUCAGAUGCCGUCGUAGUCUUAACCAUAAACUAUGCCGACUAGGGAUCGGAUGAUGUUAAUUUUUUAAUGACUCAUUCGGCGCCUUACGGGAAAC
RNAcentral lists this ribosomal RNA (549 nucleotides) under Funneliformis mosseae. Its description in RNAcentral is "SSU rRNA". It matches the Rfam family "Eukaryotic small subunit ribosomal RNA", at positions 548 to 1098 of the family's 1831-position model. Lineage: Eukaryota; Fungi; Glomeromycota; Glomeromycetes; Glomerales; Glomeraceae. The record is from RNAcentral.